CACACCUCCCCACGUAUGGCUUCCCCAGGCAUCCUGGAGGGCAGAUUUUGGUGAGUUUGUGGGACAAACUUCCAGCAAUUCCACCUGCUCAUCACCACAGUGACUUUUCUGCCGUCCUCCGAGCCAUGACCAUAUCCUCUCACCGAGAUCCGGAUCUCAGCCCCGGGAUGGAUGGCCUCUUCCUCGGGUGCUCCAUCCCAGCAUUAGCGGUAGUGACUCUUCCUUAGAUCUGCUACUCCUAUACUCUUUUGAGUUCUCUUCGUUUUUUACUAGCCAAUCCUUUAUUACUCCAAUUCCCUAUUAUACUUCAUCAUUCUACAUAUUGAACUUUUCCUGUCCAAAUUACAAUGUGGUUUCUGUCUCCUCCUUGGAUUCUGACUCAUUCAGGCUCCGUAUUCUGAAGUUGCAGGACCUAGCCCAGCAUGCACUGAGAGAAGCCAGGACAGUAUUAUGGGACUAGAUCAAGGGAUAUAGGGCGGUGUAAGGUUGGAUAGGUGACAGUUUAUGGAUAUGGGAGCAUUCUGAUAAUGGACCCUAGCAAAGAUCCCAGGAGAUGGUGCUAAUACACUGCUAAGAUGGCUGUUGGAAAUUGAGAGAAAAAAAAAAAAAUGGCCUACACUAAGAGAAGGAGAAAAGUUAAAAUUGCUAUGGAAGGCUCAGAGAAGUGAGAGUGCUGGAGCGGCUAUACUAUGAAGAGCUAGAAAAUUCAACAGCUGACUAUAUUCCCCAGGAGGGCCUGAAGGACACCCCUUUUACCAAAAGGAUUAGAAAUCUCUGGUAAGGGACACCAUCAUCAGUGAGAAGCUCCAUGUGUCUGUCCUCUGCAUACCAGAGCUGAUGGUACAGAGCUAGACUCCCUAAUAGCAAUAAGGAUGGUAGCAUCCGUACAUAAUUGAGGCAGAUGGUAGCACUUAAACAUCAGAGGCAAGGUGGAUUCAAGUAUAAUGAGUGGCUGUGUCAGAUUUGGGGGGCAUGGUGUAGCUGACCUACAGAGAGCUAUGGAGGUGAUUAACAGAACAUGGCAGGAACGACAGUCUCCAUUAUAUCCUUGCUAAAUUCACCAAUGUGGCCUUUGCAAAAAACAGACAGGACCUAGGGGAUUAAAAUGGACCACGGCAGACUUCCCUGGCGGUCCAGUGGUUAAGACUCCACGCUCCCAGUGCGGGGGGCUCGGUUCAAUCCCUGGUUGGGGCAGAUCCCACAUGCUGCGUGGCACAGCAGAAAAGGAAAAAAAAAAAAAAAGGACCACUGCAAACUCAACAAAUGGUAGCCCCAUUGAAACUGCUGUGCCAGAUGUAGUAUCUUUGCUAAAGAACAGCUUCUGGAAUGCCACUGGACCCUGGUAUAAACAGAACACCUGACCACGGCCAUCAGUGUUCAUGCAGCCAGAACUUCCUAUCAUGAGCUCGAGUCUGUCAGACUCAUCAGUUGAACUUGAGCAAAGACAGAGGGCACAAGUAAGACGUACAAGUAAGCUACACAAGCACGUGGCCCAGACCCCCAUGUCUCCCAGCACGCAGGUACCUCUCCACUAGUUAUCCAUGUUUGGUGGCUACAUGGGAGCGGGGAGGGGCACUUUAUGAUCAUCCGAAGGAAGAGGGGGAAAAAAGGAGAGCUUGGUUCACAAAUGGGUUGGCUUGCUGGACACACGCCGGGAACAGACUCGUGCUGCACUGCAACCCUCUCUGGGUCGUCCCAAGGAACAGCAGUGAGGGAGGAUCCUCCCGUGGGCAGAGCUUCGGCGGAGCAUGCAGACAUCCACUGCAUGUGGAAAGACAAGCAGCCUGAGGGAGCCACAUCUUUCUGCCCAGGUCGGCACCACAAGGAGAAUGAACAGGAUGAGGUACUGCGGGAUGAUGUGACGUGUUUGGGUUGGGUCUAUGAAGACCCACACCCGCUGUCUUGAGUGAAAAGAACAGGGCCCUUUUCAAAGGAUUUGGUUUUUUCCACCUCUUUGUGAUCCAAGUUACCAGACCGUACGGAAGGGUCAAGGAGAGAGCUGGGGACUUCAGCUCAGGAG
This is a non-coding RNA of Kogia breviceps (pygmy sperm whale), 2020 nucleotides long. The record is from RefSeq and is a predicted model, not a curated record. Lineage: Eukaryota; Metazoa; Chordata; Mammalia; Artiodactyla; Physeteridae.